GUUAUGUCAGGAAUAUCAUCAUAUGUAAUCCUUACACAAUUGUGUGAGAAAGGUCCAUUUGCCUUCCUUAACUCUCCUCCAGCAAGAGGUAAUUAUGAGUUACAGCAGUUUUGAAGAUAUUCAAAGCUCAUCCUAUCUCUCCUAGCUCAGCAAUUAGGUACUCUACAUUUCAAUGAAUAUCUAAAUUCCUUUUACUAGGCAUGGUAUCUGAAGACUAAAGUAGGCUGACUACAACCAU
This 238-nucleotide long non-coding RNA is filed under the name Rhinopithecus bieti (black snub-nosed monkey). Its description in RNAcentral is "lncRNA (ENSRBIG00000045503.1)". The record is from RNAcentral. Lineage: Eukaryota; Metazoa; Chordata; Mammalia; Primates; Cercopithecidae.